GACAGAGGUGCCAAGCGUUAGGCGGAAUCACUGGGCUUAAAGCGUGUGUAGGCGGAUGUCUAAGUACCUUGUGAAAUCCCACGGCUCAACCGUGGAACUGCUUGGUAUACUGGAUGUCUUGAGCCAUCUAGGGGCUACCGGAACAAAUGGUGGAGCGGUGAAAUGCGUUGAUAUCGGAAGGAACGCCGGUGGCGAAAACGACGGACUGGAUCUCUUCUGACGCUGAGGCGCGAAAGCCAGGGGAGCAAACGGG
Molecule: ribosomal RNA, 253 nt
Filed under: uncultured bacterium
Lineage: Bacteria
Description: partial 16S ribosomal RNA
Rfam family: Bacterial small subunit ribosomal RNA
Source: RNAcentral